UUGUGAAUCCAUCUGGUCCAGGUUAGUUGGAACAUGAUACUGAUCUGUUCUGGGUUUCAAUUUCUUCCUUUUUUAAUCUUGAGAGAUUGUGUGUUUCCAAAAAUUAAUCAAUUUCUUCUAUAUUUUCUAGUUUGUGUGCAUAGAGGUGUUGGUAAUAGUCUUUGAUAAUCAUUUGUAUUUCUGUAGGAUCAGUUAUAAUGUCCCCUUUGUCAUUUUUUAUGUGCUC
Molecule: long non-coding RNA, 226 nt
Filed under: Homo sapiens (human)
Lineage: Eukaryota; Metazoa; Chordata; Mammalia; Primates; Hominidae
Description: non-protein coding lnc-CLVS2-2:4
Source: RNAcentral